CAUGCAAGUCGAACGAUGAACUGGUGCUUGCACUGGGGAUUAGUGGCGAACGGGUGAGUAACACGUGAGUAACCUGCCCUUGACUCUGGGAUAAGCCUGGGAAACUGGGUCUAAUACCGGAUAUGACCUUCCAUCGCAUGGUGGUUGGUGGAAAGCUUUUGUGGUUUUGGAUGGACUCGCGGCCUAUCAGCUUGUUGGUGAGGUAAUGGCUUACCAAGGCGACGACGGGUAGCCGGCCUGAGAGGGUGACCGGCCACACUGGGACUGAGACACGGCCCAGACUCCUACGGGAGGCAGCAGUGGGGAAUAUUGCACAAUGGGCGGAAGCCUGAUGCAGCGACGCCGCGUGAGGGAUGACGGCCUUCGGGUUGUAAACCUCUUUCAGUAGGGAAGAAGCCGCA
Molecule: ribosomal RNA, 401 nt
Filed under: Arthrobacter sp. ST5-5
Lineage: Bacteria; Bacillati; Actinomycetota; Actinomycetes; Micrococcales; Micrococcaceae
Description: bacterial SSU rRNA
Rfam family: Bacterial small subunit ribosomal RNA
Source: RNAcentral